GAUGAAGAACGUAGCGAAAUGCGAUAAGUAAUGUGAAUUGCAGAAUUCAGUGAAUCAUCGAGUCUUUGAACGCACAUUGCGCCCCCUGGUAUUCCGGGGGGCAUGCCUGUCCGAGCGUCAUUGCUGCCCUCAAGCACGGCUUGUGUGUUGGGCCGUCGUCCCCCUCCUAGGGGACGGGCCCGAAAGGCAGCGGCGGCACCGCGUCCGGUCCUCGAGCGUAUGGGGCUUCGUCACCCGCUCCGUAGGCCCGGUCGGCGCUUGCCGACGACCAUCAAUCUCUUUCUCCAGGUUGACCUCGGAUCAGGUAGGGAUACCCGCUGAACUUAAGCAUAUCAAUAAGCGGAGGA
This 347-nucleotide unclassified non-coding RNA is filed under the name soil metagenome. Its description in RNAcentral is "partial contains 5.8S ribosomal RNA, internal transcribed spacer 2, and large subunit ribosomal RNA". The stretch from base 1 to 120 matches the Rfam family "5.8S ribosomal RNA", at positions 35 to 154 of the family's 154-position model. The record is from RNAcentral.